AUUUAAAUAGUUUAAAAAAAAAUUAAGGUUUGUGGUGCCUUAGAUACUAUAUAGUUUUAAAUU
This 63-nucleotide transfer RNA is filed under the name Empoascanara angkhangica. Its description in RNAcentral is "tRNA-His". The record is from RNAcentral. Lineage: Eukaryota; Metazoa; Arthropoda; Insecta; Hemiptera; Cicadellidae.